CCUACGGGUGGCAGCAGUCGAGAAUCAUUCACAAUGGGGGAAACCCUGAUGGUGCGACGCCGCGUGGGGGAAUGAAGUUCUUCGGAUUGUAAACCCCUGUCAUGUGGGAGCAAAUUAAAAAGAUAGUACCACAAGAGGAAGAGACGGCUAACUCUGUGCCAGCAGCCGCGGUAAUACAGAGGUCUCAAGCGUUGUUCGGAUUCACUGGGCGUAAGGCGUGCGUAGGCUGUUUCGUAAGUCGUGUGUGAAAGGCGCGGGCUCAACCCGCGGACGGCACAUGAUACUGCGAGACUAGAGUAAUGGAGGGGGAACCGGAAUUCUCGGUGUAGCAGUGAAAUGCGUAGAUAUCGAGAGGAACACUCGUGGCGAAGGCGGGUUCCUGGACAUUAACUGACGCUGAGGCACGAAGGCCAGGGGAGCGAAAGGGAUUAGAUACCCGGGUAGUC
This 446-nucleotide ribosomal RNA is filed under the name uncultured bacterium. Its description in RNAcentral is "partial 16S ribosomal RNA". It matches the Rfam family "Bacterial small subunit ribosomal RNA", at positions 338 to 795 of the family's 1533-position model. The record is from RNAcentral.